GCGGUCGUGGCGGAAUGGCAGACGCGCUAGCUUCAGGCGCUAGUGAUGGCAACAUCGUGGAGGUUCAAGUCCUCUCGACCGCACCA
Molecule: transfer RNA, 86 nt
Filed under: Selenomonas sputigena
Lineage: Bacteria; Bacillati; Bacillota; Negativicutes; Selenomonadales; Selenomonadaceae
Also listed under: 26 other names
Description: tRNA-Leu(cag)
Rfam family: tRNA
About the family: Transfer RNA (tRNA) molecules are approximately 80 nucleotides in length. Their secondary structure includes four short double-helical elements and three loops (D, anti-codon, and T loops).
Source: RNAcentral